RNAcentral lists this long non-coding RNA (213 nucleotides) under Elaeis guineensis (African oil palm). RNAcentral's name for it is "long non-coding RNA (EGUI_LNC062348)". The record is from RNAcentral. Lineage: Eukaryota; Viridiplantae; Streptophyta; Magnoliopsida; Arecales; Arecaceae.
CCCACUCUUGUACGCCAAUCUUUGGAUAAAAUUGAUUAGUUAGCCAUUCAAAUUCAAAGUGUGUUUGAAUUUGAAUGGAUAACUUAUCUCUUGUGCCUUCAUGACCCUAUCCACUUUAGCGCCCCAUAUCUCACACGAGAAAGAGUUUCUCAUGAAACCUUUCUACACACAAUGCAGCCUCACACCUUCUCUUCUCACGCCCAAGUGGAUAGG